AGAGAGAGACAUGCGCGCAUAUCAAUAAGCGGAGGAAAAGAAACUAACAAGGAUUCCCCUAGUAACGGCGAGUGAAGCGGGAAGAGCUCAAAUUUGAAAUCUUAAAGGGUUUCCCUUUACGAAUUGUAGUUUAAAGAAGUGUUUUCUGUUGAGGUUUUGGUAAAAGUUCUUUGGAAUAGGACAUCAUAGAGGGUGAGAAUCCCGUAUUUGACCUUUACUUUCAACUUUGUGAUACACUUUCAAAGAGUCGGAUUGUUUGGGAAUGCAGUCCAAAAUGGGUGGUAAAUUUCAUCUAAAGCUAAAUAUUGGCGAGAGACCGAUAGCGAACAAGUACCGUGAGGGAAAGAUGAAAAGAACUUUGAAAAGAGAGUUAAACAGUACGUGAAAUUGUCAAAAGGGAAGCGUUUGACACCAGUGUUGUUUUUCUGAAAAUCAAUUAAAGAACUGUUUAUGCUAAGCUGUUUAGACUUUAUCAGCUAUCUGUUUAGUUUUGAGCUUUUCUUUAAUGCACUUUUCAGUUAACAAGUCAACAUCAAUUUCUUUUGCUGUAAAAAAGCUUGAGGAAGGUGGCUUGAGAUUCGUCUUAAGUGUUUAUAGCCUCUUGCCUAUGCAGUCGGAGAGAUUGAGGUCUGCAGCGUAGAUCCUUCGGGGUUAAAUAGCAUUUGUGCUAAGUUAUAGCCUUUCAUAGACAACUUGUUGACUAUGAUCAGUCAUGUAGCUUACUCGCUUAUGCUAUUUUACCUACGCUUAGGAUGUUGAUGUGAUACUGCGAGC
This 774-nucleotide ribosomal RNA is filed under the name uncultured Neocallimastigales. RNAcentral describes it as "partial large subunit ribosomal RNA". It matches the Rfam family "Eukaryotic large subunit ribosomal RNA", at positions 23 to 645 of the family's 3401-position model. The record is from RNAcentral. Lineage: Eukaryota; Fungi; Neocallimastigomycota; Neocallimastigomycetes; Neocallimastigales.